This 148-nucleotide ribosomal RNA is filed under the name Entoloma caesiellum. RNAcentral's name for it is "5.8S ribosomal RNA". It matches the Rfam family "5.8S ribosomal RNA". Rfam says of the family: 5.8S ribosomal RNA (5.8S rRNA) is a component of the large subunit of the eukaryotic ribosome. The record is from RNAcentral. Lineage: Eukaryota; Fungi; Basidiomycota; Agaricomycetes; Agaricales; Entolomataceae.
CAACUUUCAACAACGGAUCUCUUGGCUCUUGCAUCGAUGACGAACGCAGCGAAAUGCGAUAAGUAAUGUGAAUUGCAGAAUUCAGUGAAUCAUCGAAUCUUUGAACGCACCUUGCGCUCUUUGGUAAUCCGAAGAGCAUGCCUGUUUG